This 1411-nucleotide ribosomal RNA is filed under the name uncultured bacterium. RNAcentral's name for it is "bacterial SSU rRNA". It matches the Rfam family "Bacterial small subunit ribosomal RNA". The record is from RNAcentral.
GAUGAACGCUGGCGGUGUGCCUUAAGCAUGCAAGUCGAACGAUAAUGUACCUUCGGGUACAGGACAGUGGCAGACGGGUGAGUAACACGUAGGAAUCUACCUUAAAGUGGGGGAUAGCUCAGCGAAAGUUGGGGUAAUACCGCAUGUGACCGCAAGGUCAAAGCAGCAAUGCGCUUUUAGAGGAGCCUGCGCGCUAUCAGCUAGUUGGUGGGGUAAUGGCCUACCAAGGCGACGACGGCUAGCCGAUGUGAGAGCAUGAUCGGCCACAAGGCUACUGAGACACGGAGCCUACACCUACGGGUGGCAGCAACUGGGAAUAUUGCGCAAUGGGCGAAAGCCUGACGCAGCGACACCGCGUGUGGGAAGACGUUCUUCGGAAUGUAAACCACUGUGGCGAGGGAGAAAAUUUUGAUAGUACCUCGCUAGAAAGCACCAGCUAACUACGUGCCAGAAGCUUCGGUAAUACGUAGGGUGCGAGCGUUAUCCGGAUUUACUGGGCGUAAAGCGUCCGUCGGCGUCUUGACAAGUUGCUUGUUCAAGCCUGGGGCUCAACUCCAGAAAGGCAAGCAAAACUGUCAGGAUAGAGUUUGUUCGAGGAAGUUGGAAUUCUCGGUGGAGGGGUGAAAUCCGUAGAUAUCGAGAGGAACGCCGCGCGUGAAGACAGACUUCUAGGACACAACUGACGCUCAGGGACGACAGCUUGGGGAGCAAAAGGGAUUAGAGACCCCUGUAGUCCAAGCCGUAAACACUGCUUGCUAGUUAUUCGUCUUUUUAAGAUGGGUGACGUAAGUUAACACGUUAAGCAAGCCGCCUGGGGAGUACGACCGCAAGGUUAAAACUCAAAGGAAUUGGCGGGGGAGCGCACAACCGGUGGAGCAUGUGGUUUAAUUCGAUACGAAGCGAAAAACCUUACCCGGGUUUGAAAUGUAUCUGCAAAGCUUGGGAAACCAAGCCUUCUUCGAGAGUGAUACACAGGUGAUGCAUGGCUGUCGUCAGCUCGUGCCGUGAGGCGUCGGCUUAAGUGCCGUAACGAGCGCAACCCUUGUCGCAUGUUACACGUAUCAUGCGAGACUGCUCUGCUUUUGGCAGGGAGGAAGGAGAGGAUGAUGUCAAGUCAGCACGUCCCUUACAUCCGGGGCUACACACAUCCUACAAUGGAGCCGACAACGGGUCGCGAUGGGGUAACCCUGAGCUAAUCCUAAUAAACGGCUCCUCAGUUCAGAUUGAGGGCUGAAAUUCGCCCUCAUGAAGCCGGAAUCGGUAGUAAUCGCAAAUCAGCAGGUUGCGGUGAAUACGUUCUCGCUCCUUGCACACACUGCCCGUCAAGCCAGCAAAGUCAGCAAUGCCCGAAGCGGAUGACCCUAACUCGCAAGAGGGGGGCUCUUCUACGGCAAGGUUGGCGAUGAGGACU